UACGUAGGGGGCAAGCGUUGUCCGGAUUUAUUGGGCGUAAAGAGCGUGUAGGCGGCCAUACAGGUCAGCUGUGAAAACUCGAGGCUCAACCUCGAGACGUCGGUUGAAACCGUAUGGCUAGAGUCCGGAAGAGGAGAGUGGAAUUCCCGGCGUAGCGGUGAAAUGCGCAGAUAUCGGGAAGAACACCUAUGGUGAAGGCAGCUCUCUGGGACGGUACUGACGCUGAGACGCGAAAGCGUGGGGAGCGAACAGG
RNAcentral lists this ribosomal RNA (253 nucleotides) under uncultured bacterium. RNAcentral describes it as "partial 16S ribosomal RNA". It matches the Rfam family "Bacterial small subunit ribosomal RNA", at positions 524 to 776 of the family's 1533-position model. The record is from RNAcentral.